This 74-nucleotide transfer RNA is filed under the name Candidatus Methanomethylophilaceae archaeon. RNAcentral's name for it is "tRNA-Arg". It matches the Rfam family "tRNA". Rfam says of the family: Transfer RNA (tRNA) molecules are approximately 80 nucleotides in length. Their secondary structure includes four short double-helical elements and three loops (D, anti-codon, and T loops). The record is from RNAcentral. Lineage: Archaea; Methanobacteriati; Thermoplasmatota; Thermoplasmata; Methanomassiliicoccales; Methanomethylophilaceae.
GGACCCGUAGUGUAGCCUGGAUAGGAUGGGGGCCUCCGGAGCCUCGGACCCGGGUUCGAAUCCCGGCGGGUCCG